ACCUUUGACAUGUACGGAAUCCUUUAGAGAUAGAGGAGUGCUCGAAAAGAGGAGCCGUAACACAGGUGCUGCAUGGCUGUCGUCAGCUCGUGUCGUGAGAUGUUGGGUUAAGUCCCGCAACGAGCGCAACCCUUGUCAUUAGUUGCUACAUUUCAGUUUGGGCACUCUAAUGAGACUGCCGGUGACAAACCGGAGGAAGGUGGGGAUGACGUCAAGUCCUCAUGGCCCUUAUAGGUGGGGCUACACACGUCAUACAAUGGAUGGUACAAAGGGUCGCCAACCCGCGAGGGGGAGCCAAUCCCAUAAAGCCAUUCGUAGUCCGGAUCGCAGUCUGCAACUCGACUGCGUGAAGUCGGAAUCGCUAGUAAUCGCGGAUCAGCAUGUCGCGGUGAAUACGUUCCCGGGUCUU
Molecule: ribosomal RNA, 409 nt
Filed under: uncultured Acidovorax sp.
Lineage: Bacteria; Pseudomonadati; Pseudomonadota; Betaproteobacteria; Burkholderiales; Comamonadaceae
Description: bacterial SSU rRNA
Rfam family: Bacterial small subunit ribosomal RNA
Source: RNAcentral